Non-coding RNA from Fistulina hepatica ATCC 64428, 107 nucleotides. NCBI's taxonomy places the organism in Eukaryota, Fungi, Basidiomycota, Agaricomycetes, Agaricales, Fistulinaceae. The record is from the annotation of a GenBank genome assembly.
UCUCUGAUAGUAUAUUGGCUAGUACACCCGCCUGUCAUAGAAGUACAUAGCAACAGCGCAAGGAUUCUCUCUCGCGGGAGAGCUGGGUUCGAUUCCCAAUCAGAGAG